Molecule: ribosomal RNA, 467 nt
Filed under: uncultured bacterium
Lineage: Bacteria
Description: partial 16S ribosomal RNA
Rfam family: Bacterial small subunit ribosomal RNA
Source: RNAcentral
GACGAACGCUGGCGGCGUGCUUAACACAUGCAAGUCGAACGGAAAGGCCCUGCUUUUGUGGGGUGCUCGAGUGGCGAACGGGUGAGUAACACGUGAGUAACCUGCCCUUGACUUUGGGAUAACUUCAGGCAACUGGGGCUAAUACCGGAUAGGAGCUCCUGCUGCAUGGUGGGGGUUGGAAAGUUUCGGCGGUUGAGGAUGGACUCGCGGCUUAUCAGCUUGUUGGUGGGGUAGUGGCUUACCAAGGCUUGGACGGGUAGCCGGACUGGGAGGGUGACCGGGCACAUUGGGACUGGGGUGCGGGCCAGGGGCCUACUGGAGGCAGGGGUGGGGACUAGUGCACAAUGGGCGGAAGCCUGAUGCAGCGACGCCGGGUGGGGGAGGACGGCCAGCGGGGUGUAAAGCGCGUUCGCCUGUGACGAGGCGUGAGUGAGGGUAAUGGGUAAAGAAGCACCGGCUAACUACGU